UAAAGAAUUUCGGUAUGGGAUGGGGAUGCGUUCCAUUAGUUAGUUGGCGGGGUAACGGCCCACCAAGACAACGAUGGAUAGGGGUUCUGAGAGGAAGGUCCCCCACAUUGGAACUGAGACACGGUCCAAACUCCUACGGGAGGCAGCAGUGAGGAAUAUUGGUCAAUGGACGAGAGUCUGAACCAGCCAAGUAGCGUGAAGGAUGACUGCCCUAUGGGUUGUAAACUUCUUUUAUAUGGGAAUAAAAUGUUCCACGUGUGGGAUUUUGUAUGUACCAUAUGAAUAAGGAUCGGCUAACUCCGUGCCAGCAGCCGCGGUAAUACGGAGGAUCCGAGCGUUAUCCGGAUUUAUUGGGUUUAAAGGGAGCGUAGGUGGAUUGUUAAGUCAGUUGUGAAAGUUUGCGGCUCAACCGUAAAAUUGCAGUUGAAACUGGCAGUCUUGAGUACAGUAGAGGUGGGCGGAAUUCGUGGUGUAGCGGUGAAAUGCUUAGAUAUCACGAAGAACUCCGAUUGCGAAGGCAGCUCACUGGACUGCAACUGACACUGAGGCUCGAAAGUGUGGGUAUCAAACAGGAUUAGAUACCCUGGUAGUCCACACAGUAAACGAUGAAUACUCGCUGUUUGCGAUAUAC
RNAcentral lists this ribosomal RNA (631 nucleotides) under uncultured bacterium. Its description in RNAcentral is "bacterial SSU rRNA". It matches the Rfam family "Bacterial small subunit ribosomal RNA", at positions 202 to 834 of the family's 1533-position model. The record is from RNAcentral.